This 253-nucleotide ribosomal RNA is filed under the name uncultured prokaryote. RNAcentral's name for it is "partial 16S ribosomal RNA". It matches the Rfam family "Bacterial small subunit ribosomal RNA", at positions 525 to 777 of the family's 1533-position model. The record is from RNAcentral.
ACGUAGGGUGCGAGCGUUGUCCGGAAUUAUUGGGCGUAAAGAGCUUGUAGGCGGUUUGUCGCGUCUGCCGUGAAAUUUCGAGGCUCAACCUCGAACUUGCGGUGGGUACGGGCAGACUAGAGUGUGGUAGGGGAGACUGGAAUUCCUGGUGUAGCGGUGAAAUGCGCAGAUAUCAGGAGGAACACCGGUGGCGAAGGCGGGUCUCUGGGCUGACACUGACGCUCAUGCACGAAAGCGUGGGGAGCAAACAGGA